This 241-nucleotide ribosomal RNA is filed under the name uncultured bacterium. Its description in RNAcentral is "partial 16S ribosomal RNA". It matches the Rfam family "Bacterial small subunit ribosomal RNA", at positions 91 to 334 of the family's 1533-position model. The record is from RNAcentral.
AUGACCGGCGAACGGGUGCGUAACACGUGAACAACCUGCCCUCGUGUGGGGGAUAGCCAUGCUAACGCGUGGGUAAUACCGCAUACGGUCCUUUGGGGGAGUCCCUAGGGGAAGAAAGCUCCGGCGCACGGGAGGGGUUCGUGGCCUAUCAGCUAGUUGGGGGGUAAUGGCCCACCAAGGCGACGACGGGUAGCUGGUCUGAGAGGAUGGCCAGCCACAUUGGGACUGAGACCCGGCCCAG